This 231-nucleotide ribosomal RNA is filed under the name uncultured bacterium. RNAcentral describes it as "partial 16S ribosomal RNA". It matches the Rfam family "Bacterial small subunit ribosomal RNA", at positions 15 to 244 of the family's 1533-position model. The record is from RNAcentral.
GAUCCUGGCUCAGGAUGAACGCUAGCUACAGGCUUAACACAUGCAAGUCGAACGGCAGCAUAGAGAGCUUGCUCUCUGAUGGCGAGUGGCGAACGGGUGAGUAAUACAUCGGAACGUGUCCUGUUGUGGGGGAUAACUACUCGAAAGAGUAGCUAAUACCGCAUAAGACCUAAGGGUGAAAGCGGGGGACCUUCGGGCCUCGCGCAGUUGGAGCGGCCGAUGACUGAUUAG